UACUACACUGCAGAGUAUUUGUAUGAACUGGGCUUCAGGAGAGUUGCAGAUUGUGGUCAAGUCAGGACCCCUGUUUUCAAAAUAUGUACAUACAGAAAGAAAAAGACAUGGCAACAACACUCAAAAAUACCACCCUUCUUGCAAAAAGUCUUUUGAUGUGACAGCUUCAAGUCUUCCCCAAUAAAAUCCAGGGGAAAAAACCCAAUUUGGCAUUUCAUGUAAUUAAAAUCUGGAGGGAAUGUUUAAAAAAGACCAAACAAUAUUGCCAGUACACAAAUAUAAUUAAUCCUUUCCCUUAAUAACGAGUAACCAAAACAAACUGUGCAUGGAAGUGUGAAGCAAACUAUUACAUGAAUGAGCAAAGGAAUGAAACCUUCCUUUCUGUUCUGGCAGAUUUUCUGGCUAACCUACAUGCAUUAAGCCUUUGGGGUAGUUUACUGGGGGAAACGUCUGCAGUUACUUAAAGGCUAGCAAGAAUGAUUGACUUUUAUGACGAUUUCUCAUCAAUGUCCUUUUCCCAGCUACCAUAAAUCACUACAACACGACUGAAGUCAAGCUUCCUGCAUAGAGGCAGUCAUUGUGCAGCAGUCAUUACCCAUGGCAUACACAUUUUUUUAAAAAAAAUCCUCCCAUUAUUUCUCUUGAAACAGACAGAAGCCUGCUGUCAACCUUUCCUUUUUUGGUUCUAUACCAUCAGUAGGGACUUGAACCUGUGCUGUGGUCCAAAAUAACAUCCAACCACCCUCAAUUCCAAACCCAGAGCUGCACUUGUACAUUCCUCGGAACAAUUGUUUCUCAAAAGUGUUACUUGUGCAAAAUCAUAAAAAAAAAACUAUCUCCUAAGCAGAGCUCUGAAACAGCUACAUGAUCCUGACAUAGAAUUCUAUGUCCGAAAAAGAGUUAACAAGCUAACGCUAAUCACCUCGUCAGAAAAGCCAGAUAAGGCACUGUGAAUGCAACUCCCUUCACCAUCACAAAAGAACAAUAAGUGGGCAAUAGGAACACUGGAGGUGCAUUCAUUAAAACUACUGAUUGGUUUACUAGUCCUUCCAACCUGACAAACACUAUCCUUGCACGUCCAUUCAGUCUAUUUACAUACAGGUUGUUCCUGCCAUUCAUGCCAUUGUGUUCUACUCAACCACAGCAAACAAAGACCAUGGAUCCUUUUGAGAUACACUGCAAUUUCCCUCCUCAGGAAGUAGGAGCGGCAAGUAUUUUGCCUCAGGGCCCAUUUUGGGCUAUAACUGGUCCUGGUUUCUUGAACCAGUAUGCUUCAUUUGGUCUCCACUGUGGAAUCACCCACUGUAUGGGCGAUAGACGACAUCAUUCAUCAAUAACAGCAGGCUAUGUCUUGCUCUUUGCACCACUCAUGCUCCUAGCCUCCAGAUCGGGCUUCUUUGCUGGCCUGAUCUACCCAGCUCACCUUGCUGCUACAAGUAGCUGGCUGCAUGAAAACAGAAUGCUUUCGGAAUUAUCCUUGCUGCCUAACCCCCGAGCUGCUUUUGGUUUUCCACUGCUGCCUGGUUCCAUCUCUGAGGAAAGAGGUCCUUUGGCUGUGCCUGAGCCACGAGGGUCCAAUCACCACUAACAGAAGGACGAGGUUGUAUGAUAACCACUGUGCCCCUCUGGGCUCUUCCUAUCCCUGCUCUUUCUUAAAUCCAAAAACCUGAUUCUCUAAAGCCUUCUUUUCUCUAGCCAGCCUGGAAGUCAUUUAAUUCGGACACCAAGCUAAAUUGCCUCUUUGCUAGUAUCUGAUUAACCUUUGCAAUGUAUUUGUAGUAAUAAUAUUGCUUUAAUCAAUUCUCUUAUUCUGCUGUACCCCUAAACCCUCAAAUAAAACCUUAAUUUGUUUUGAACUUCAACCUUUCUGUCAGUUCAUUUCCCUGGAACCAGAACUUUGCACAAAAAUUAUUCUGGCGUGGGCCUGUUCCACCCCCAGACCACUAAUUCCCCACACAAAGCAC
This is a long non-coding RNA of Hemicordylus capensis (graceful crag lizard), 1964 nucleotides long. RefSeq lists it as uncharacterized. The record is from RefSeq and is a predicted model, not a curated record. The transcript has 3 exons. Lineage: Eukaryota; Metazoa; Chordata; Lepidosauria; Squamata; Cordylidae.